UCCCAGACUCCUACGGGAGGCAGCAGUGGGGAAUAUUGCACAAUGGGGGAAACCCUGAUGCAGCGACGCCGCGUGAAGGAUGAAGUAUUUCGGUAUGUAAACUUCUAUCAGCAGGGAAGAAAAUGACGGUACCUGACUAAGAAGCCCCGGCUAACUACGUGCCAGCAGCCGCGGUAAUACGUAGGGGGCAAGCGUUAUCCGGAUUUACUGGGUGUAAAGGGAGCGUAGACGGUAUGGCAAGUCUGAUGUGAAAACCCGGGGCUCAACCCCGGGACUGCAUUGGAAACUGCCGAACUAGAGUGUCGGAGAGGCAAGUGGAAUUCCUAGUGUAGCGGUGAAAUGCGUAGAUAUUAGGAGGAACACCGGCGGCGAAGGCGGCCUGCUGGACCGCGACUGACGUUGAGGCUCGAAAGCGUGGGGAGCGAACAGGAUUAGAUACCCGAGUA
RNAcentral lists this ribosomal RNA (446 nucleotides) under uncultured bacterium. Its description in RNAcentral is "bacterial SSU rRNA". It matches the Rfam family "Bacterial small subunit ribosomal RNA", at positions 329 to 792 of the family's 1533-position model. The record is from RNAcentral.